AAGCAGUCCAGUCCACUGCUUUGAACAAGGCGGUCUUCGCGGUGUAAUAUCUCUCAGCUGCUUGAGGUUUCACACAUUCACAAAAAUAACAGCAUUUUUAGCUGAUCCCAAUAGAUUUUUCUCUGCAGCUGCAUCACUUGAAAAAGCUUUUUGUUCCAGUUCUUAAAGUCUAAGUAUUGAAAGUAAUUUGAAAAAAAGAAAAACAUCCCAAUUAUGAUUUGUGUGUGUUGUGAUGACUUCAAGGACUGACUGGGCUGCAAAUGGGCUUUGAAAAACAAGCCA
RNAcentral lists this long non-coding RNA (282 nucleotides) under Homo sapiens (human). RNAcentral's name for it is "HSALNT0115640". The record is from RNAcentral. Lineage: Eukaryota; Metazoa; Chordata; Mammalia; Primates; Hominidae.